Molecule: ribosomal RNA, 539 nt
Filed under: uncultured bacterium
Lineage: Bacteria
Description: bacterial SSU rRNA
Rfam family: Bacterial small subunit ribosomal RNA
Source: RNAcentral
AAAAUAGAUACCCUGGUAGUCCACGCCGUAAACGAUGAGUGCUAGGUCGUUGGGGGGUUCCACCCUCAGGUGCUGAAGUUAACACAUUAAGCACUCCGCCUGGGGAGUACGACCGCAAGGUUGAAACUCAAAGGAAUUGACGGGGGCCCGCACAAGCAGUGGAGCAUGUGGUUUAAUUCGAAGCAACGCGAAGAACCUUACCAGGUCUUGACAUCCUCUGACCACUCUAGAGAUAGAGCUUUCCCCUUCGGGGGACAGAGUGACAGGUGGUGCAUGGUUGUCGUCAGCUCGUGUCGUGAGAUGUUGGGUUAAGUCCCGCAACGAGCGCAACCCUUGACCUUAGUUGCCAGCACUCAGUUGGGCACUCUAAGGUGACUGCCGGUGACAAACCGGAGGAAGGUGGGGAUGACGUCAAAUCAUCAUGCCCCUUAUGACCUGGGCUACACACGUGCUACAAUGGAUGGUACAAAGGGUUGCGAAGCCGCGAGGCCAAGCCAAUCCCAAAAAGCCAUUCUCAGUUCGGAUUGUAGGCUGCAACG